GAGGGCUCGGCCGCCAUUUUGUGUGUGUGGGGGCUCGCGCCAGGCCUCGCUGCCGCCGCCGCGAGGCUGCAGCGUUUUCAGGGAGCCGGACUGCUGCUGCAGCGCUUCCUGCCUGAAGAGCGGCUGGAAGCGGAGUCGGGUAUCGCAGUCCCCCGCUGGGGACGGGGUGCUUCGGCAGGCGCUGGAAGUCUGCGCUGCUGCUAAGUGUGAGUGCGGGAGGUGGGGUCGGACCCUGCAGGGAGACAAACCGCUCCGGAACACCUGCGGUGGGGAUUAGGAGCAAUUAGUGUGCGUUAAGACUCCUUCAUUAGGCAGAAUGUGGCAUAAAGUUGGUAGAAUCAAAGCAGGGUCGGGGAGCUGAUGGGUAUGGAGGGAGCGGUGGUGCUCUGAGCGGGGGGAGAGGCUGCUGUGUCUGUAAGUGCCAUUGUUGAAGUGUUUGCAGGUAACUCUGAACAAAGGGCUGUUCGUAUGAAUUCAAUGUAACCAGUUUGGGGUCAGUGGGUGCAGGACGGCCUCGGUGAGCACUGGACUGGUCACGGACAUCCCUUAGUAACACCCGGGCUGCUACAUUUCUCUGACAAUUUCCUUGUGUGGGUUUCUCCCC
This 604-nucleotide long non-coding RNA is filed under the name Gallus gallus (chicken). RNAcentral describes it as "long non-coding RNA NONGGAT005494". The record is from RNAcentral. Lineage: Eukaryota; Metazoa; Chordata; Aves; Galliformes; Phasianidae.